GACGAACGCUGGCGGCGUGCUUAACACAUGCAAGUCGAACGGAAAGGCCCUGCUUUUGUGGGGUGCUCGAGUGGCGAACGGGUGAGUAACACGUGAGUAACCUGCCCUUGACUUUGGGAUAACUUCAGGAAACUGGGGCUAAUACCGGAUAGGAGCUCCUGCUGCAUGGUGGGGGUUGGAAAGUUUCGGCGGUUGGGGAUGGACUCGCGGCUUAUCAGCUUGUUGGUGGGGUAGUGGCUUACCAAGGCUUUGACGGGUAGCCGGCCUGAGAGGGUGACCGGCCACAUUGGGACUGAGAUACGGCCCAGACUCCUACGGGAGGCAGCAGUGGGGAAUAUUGCACAAUGGGCGGAAGCCUGAUGCAGCAACGCCGCGUGCGGGAUGACGGCCUUCGGGUUGUAAACCGCUUUCGCCUGUGACGAAGCGUGAGUGACGGUAAUGGGUAAAGAAGCACCGGCUAACUACGUGCCAGCAGCCGCGGUGAUACGUAGGGUGCGAGCGUUGUCCGGAUUUAUUGGGCGUAAAGGGCUCGUAGGUGGUUGAUCGCGUCGGAAGUGUAAUCUUGGGGCUUAACCCUGAGCGUGCUUUCGAUACGGGUUGACUUGAGGAAGGUAGGGGAGAAUGGAAUUCCUGGUGGAGCGGUGGAAUGCGCAGAUAUCAGGAGGAACACCAGUGGCGAAGGCGGUUCUCUGGGCCUUUCCUGACGCUGAGGAGCGAAAGCGUGGGGAGCGAACAGGCUUAGAUACCCUGGUAGUCCACGCUGUAAACGGUGGGUACUAGGUGUGGGGUCCAUUCCACGGGUUCCGUGCCGUAGCUAACGCUUUAAGUACCCCGCCUGGGGAGUACGGCCGCAAGGCUAAAACUCAAAGGAAUUGACGGGGCCCCGCACAAGCGGCGGAGCAUGCGGAUUAAUUCGAUGCAACGCGUAGAACCUUACCUGGGUUUGACAUGGAUCGGGAGUGCUCAGAGAUGGGUGUGCCUCUUUUGGGGUCGGUUCACAGGUGGUGCAUGCCUGUCGUCAGCUCGUGUCGUGAGAUGUUGGGUUAAGUCCCGCAACGAGCGCAACCCUUGUUCACUGUUGCCAGCACGUUAUGGUGGGGACUCAGUGGAGACCGCCGGGGUCAACUCGGAGGAAGGUGGGGAUGACGUCAAGUCCUCAUGCCCCUUAUGUCCAGGGCUUCACGCAUGCUACAAUGGCUGGUACAGAGAGUGGCGAGCCUGUGAGGGUGAGCGAAUCUCGGGAAGCCGGUCUCAGUUCGGAUUGGGGUCUGCAACUCGACCUCAUGAAGUCGGAGUCGCUAGUAAUCGCAGAUCAGCAACGCUGCGGUGAAUACGUUCCCGGG
Molecule: ribosomal RNA, 1343 nt
Filed under: uncultured bacterium
Lineage: Bacteria
Description: 16S ribosomal RNA
Rfam family: Bacterial small subunit ribosomal RNA
Source: RNAcentral